RNAcentral lists this ribosomal RNA (433 nucleotides) under uncultured bacterium. Its description in RNAcentral is "partial 16S ribosomal RNA". It matches the Rfam family "Bacterial small subunit ribosomal RNA", at positions 29 to 507 of the family's 1533-position model. The record is from RNAcentral.
AACGAACGCUGGCGGCAUGCCUAACACAUGCAAGUCGAACGAGACCUUCGGGUCUAGUGGCGCACGGGUGCGUAACGCGUGGGAACCUGCCCUUAGGUUCGGAAUAACUCCCCGAAAGGGGUGCUAAUACCGGAUAAUGUCUUCGGACCAAAGAUUUAUCGCCUUUGGAUGGGCCCGCGUUGGAUUAGCUAGUUGGUAGGGUAAAAGCCUACCAAGGCGACGAUCCAUAGCUGGUCUGAGAGGAUGAUCAGCCACACUGGGACUGAGACACGGCCCAGACUCCUACGGGAGGCAGCAGUGGGGAAUAUUGGACAGUGGGCGAAAGCCUGAUCCAGCAAUGCCGCGUGAGUGAUGAAGGCCUUAGGGUUGUAAAGCUCUUUUACCCGGGAUGAUAAUGACAGUACCGGAAGAAUAAGCUCCGGCUAACUCCGUG